UGCAGUCGAACGGAAAGGCCCUUCGGGGUACUCGAGUGGCGAACGGGUGAGUAACACGUGGGUGAUCUGCCCUGCACUUUGGGAUAAGCCUGGGAAACUGGGUCUAAUACCGAAUAUGACCGCAUGCUUCAUGGUGUGUGGUGGAAAGCUUUUGCGGUGUGGGAUGGGCCCGCGGCCUAUCAGCUUGUUGGUGGGGUAAUGGCCUACCAAGGCGACGACGGGUAGCCGGCCUGAGAGGGUGACCGGCCACACUGGGACUGAGAUACGGCCCAGACUCCUACGGGAGGCAGCAGUGGGGAAUAUUGCACAAUGGGCGCAAGCCUGAUGCAGCGACGCCGCGUGAGGGAUGACGGCCUUCGGGUUGUAAACCUCUUUCAAUAGGGACGAAGCGCAAGUGACGGUACCUAUAGAAGAAGGACCGGCCAACUACGUGCCAGCAGCCGCGGUAAUACGUAGGGUCCGAGCGUUGUCCGGAAUUACUGGGCGUAAAGAGCUCGUAGGUGGUUUGUCGCGUUGUUCGUGAAAACUCACAGCUUAACUGUGGGCGUGCGGGCGAUACGGGCAGACUAGAGUACUGCAGGGGAGACUGGAAUUCCUGGUGUAGCGGUGGAAUGCGCAGAUAUCAGGAGGAACACCGGUGGCGAAGGCGGGUCUCUGGGCAGUAACUGACGCUGAGGAGCGAAAGCGUGGGGAGCGAACAGGAUUAGAUACCCUGGUAGUCCACGCCGUAAACGGUGGGUACUAGGUGUGGGUUCCUUCCUUGGGAUCCGUGCCGUAGCUAACGCAUUAAGUACCCCGCCUGGGGAGUACGGCCGCAAGGCUAAAACUCAAAGAAAUUGACGGGGGCCCGCACAAGCGGCGGAGCAUGUGGAUUAAUUCGAUGCAACGCGAAGAACCUUACCUGGGUUUGACAUGCACAGGACGCUGGUAGAGAUAUCAGUUCCCUUGUGGCCUGUGUGCAGGUGGUGCAUG
Molecule: ribosomal RNA, 972 nt
Filed under: Mycolicibacterium montmartrense
Lineage: Bacteria; Bacillati; Actinomycetota; Actinomycetes; Mycobacteriales; Mycobacteriaceae
Description: bacterial SSU rRNA
Rfam family: Bacterial small subunit ribosomal RNA
Source: RNAcentral